Molecule: long non-coding RNA, 621 nt
Organism: Phragmites australis (common reed)
Lineage: Eukaryota; Viridiplantae; Streptophyta; Magnoliopsida; Poales; Poaceae
Exons: 3
Source: RefSeq, a predicted model, not a curated record
CUCUCUCUCCCUCAUUUCCUCUCGCGCGUGCCCAAAGCAGAGCCCAGCUGAGCACAGCACGCACACGCACCACCGUCCAAUCUGUCGUGCCCGAGCUCUGACUAGCCUCAGCCCAGCCAGGUGAAGCACCGGGGUGGAUCACCUGACGCCCUCCGUUGCCUUCCCCGCCUUUUCUCGCGCGAAUCAAGCUCGGUCGUGCCAUCUUCCCCGCCUCCGGCACCCAUCUCCGCCUCUCCACCGCUGAGCUGCCUCACCGUUGUCUCCUUGUGUCAACCAUCUGCGUGGUCCGGAGCGUGAUGCGAGCGUGACCGAGGACAAUGCCAACCUUCCGCUUUUCUGUGAGUUCUGUGCAGGAAGUAUCGAGCAAACUCGGAGCAGCAAGGUCGCCUUUGUUGCUAUGGUCCUGCCUUUGCUAUCACUGUGUGAUGAUAUCCAGAAUGUGAUGGCAAGCUGGCGACACUGCUGAGCACAUAUUUUUUCGGUUAGCUGAGAAUUAUAUAUUUGGGAAAACACAAGGUGUAUAUAUCUUCUCAUACUUCAUCAAUGGAUAAUCAAGAAUAUCUCAGCUAGGGUCCAAAAGGUUUUGGAACUUGUUGCUACCAACCGUUAUCACCGGUUAAU